AGAUUGAACGCUGGCGGCAGGCCUAACACAUGCAAGUCGAGCGGCAGCACGGGUACUUGUACCUGGUGGCGAGCGGCGGACGGGUGAGUAAUGCCUAGGAAUCUGCCUGAUAGUGGGGGAUAACGUUCGGAAACGGACGCUAAUACCGCAUACGUCCUACGGGAGAAAGUGGGGGAUCUUCGGACCUCACGCUAUCAGAUGAGCCUAGGUCGGAUUAGCUAGUUGGUAGGGUAAAGGCCUACCAAGGCUACGAUCCGUAACUGGUCUGAGAGGAUGAUCAGUCACACUGGAACUGAGACACGGUCCAGACUCCUACGGGAGCAGCAGUGGGAAUAUUGGACAAUGGGCAAAGCCUGAUCCAGCCAUGCCGCGUGUGUGAAGAAGGUCUACGGAUU
Molecule: ribosomal RNA, 395 nt
Filed under: uncultured soil bacterium
Lineage: Bacteria
Description: bacterial SSU rRNA
Rfam family: Bacterial small subunit ribosomal RNA
Source: RNAcentral